UUAAAAAGCUCGUAGUUGGAUCUCGGCGGUCUGAGGGCGGUUCGCUUGAUUGAGUGCUACUGCUCUAUAGGCCGUGGUUUCGCCAGAGGUCUCGGGGUGCUCUUAACCGAGUGUCCUGCGAUGCUGGCAGGUUUACUUUGAAAAAAUUAGAGUGCUCAAAGCAGGCUUUUACGCCUGAAUAUUCGUGCAUGGAAUAAUAGAAUAGGAAGUCGUUUCUAUUUUGUUGGUUUUCGGAAAUCGACUUAAUGAUUAAUAGGGACAGUCGGGGGCAUUUGUAUUCAAACGACAGAGGUGAAAUUCUUGGACCGUUUGAAGACAAACUACUGUGAAAGCAUUUGCCAAGAAUGUUUUCAUUAAUCAAGGACGAAAGUUAGAGGUUCGAAGGCGAUUAGAUACCGCCCUAGUUCUAACCAUAAACGAUGCCAGCUAGCGAUCUGCCGACGUUUUCUUUGUAGACUCGGCAGGAAGCUUCCGGGAAACCAAAGCAUUUGGGUUCCAGGGGGAAGUAUGGUUGCAAAGCUGAAACUAAAAGG
This 533-nucleotide ribosomal RNA is filed under the name uncultured marine eukaryote. Its description in RNAcentral is "SSU rRNA". It matches the Rfam family "Eukaryotic small subunit ribosomal RNA", at positions 619 to 1150 of the family's 1831-position model. The record is from RNAcentral.